RNAcentral lists this ribosomal RNA (348 nucleotides) under Triticum aestivum (bread wheat). RNAcentral describes it as "partial small subunit ribosomal RNA". Lineage: Eukaryota; Viridiplantae; Streptophyta; Magnoliopsida; Poales; Poaceae. The record is from RNAcentral.
AUGGGCUACGCCUACUGCAGCGGCGGGGGCGCCGGCAAGCCGCCGGCGAAGUUCGAGCCCCGCCCGUUCCUGCUGUCCGUGGUCGCCGUGGACACGUCGGAGCUGGACCUUGGCCAGAGCACGGUGGACUUGAGCGCCCUCGUGAAGGAGUCCACGGAGAAGAGCCAGCAAGGGGAGUGCGCCCGGCAGUGGCAGAUGGCGUUCCUGCUCGCCGGCAAGGCCAAGGGUGGGGAGCUCGUCGUCACGCUCGCUUUCCAGAUCAUGGAGGACGGCGGCGGCGGGCUCUACAGCCAGCCGGCCAACAAGACUGCUGCCCCUCCUUGUCCCUCGCCUUGGCCGCCAGCUUGA